GUUUUCGGAUAAUCGCAGGAUAGAGUAAUCUAUUUUGAGGAAAGUCCAUGCUCGCACAGGCUGAGAUGCGUGUAGUGAUCGUGCUUAACGAAAAAAUAAGUUAAGGUACUUGUUAACUAAUGAGUAACGGCAGAUAAAAUGGCUAAGGUGCUUUGUGCACUAUGUCAGAGUAGUCUUGAAAGUGCCACAGUGACGAAGUAAUUUUAGAAAUAAAAUUAGUGGAACGGGUAAACCCCUCGAGCGAGCAACCCAAACAUAUGGUAGGGGCACCAAUCUCAAGGAAAUGAACUUAGAGAAGGGACAGUGUAUUCUGUAGACAGAUGAUUAUCAUCAUUAUCCGUUCCUGAGGGAUAAUGAUACAAAACAUGGCUUACAGAA
Molecule: RNase P RNA, 378 nt
Filed under: Vagococcus vulneris
Lineage: Bacteria; Bacillati; Bacillota; Bacilli; Lactobacillales; Enterococcaceae
Description: Bacterial RNase P class B
Rfam family: Bacterial RNase P class B
About the family: Ribonuclease P (RNase P) is a ubiquitous endoribonuclease, found in archaea, bacteria and eukarya as well as chloroplasts and mitochondria. Its best characterised activity is the generation of mature 5'-ends of tRNAs by cleaving the 5'-leader elements of precursor-tRNAs.
Source: Rfam by way of RNAcentral